Molecule: non-coding RNA, 72 nt
Organism: Bos taurus (domestic cattle)
Lineage: Eukaryota; Metazoa; Chordata; Mammalia; Artiodactyla; Bovidae
Source: Rfam
UCCCUGCUAGCUUAGCUGGUAAAGAAUCUGCCUACAGUGCAGGAGACCCUGGUUCAAUUCCUGGGUUAGGAG